This is a small nucleolar RNA of Meriones unguiculatus (Mongolian gerbil), 142 nucleotides long. The record is from Ensembl. Lineage: Eukaryota; Metazoa; Chordata; Mammalia; Rodentia; Muridae.
ACUAUUCUAGAUAAACAGCCACUGAGGCACAACACAGCAGUUCAGCUGUGCCUCCAGCACUGGGGCAAAGAGCAAGUGGCUAUUUCUAUACUUAGUGUUCAAAAAUGAGUGAGCAGUAAGAAUGGUUUGGAGCCUGACAUUU